Molecule: ribosomal RNA, 539 nt
Filed under: uncultured bacterium
Lineage: Bacteria
Description: bacterial SSU rRNA
Rfam family: Bacterial small subunit ribosomal RNA
Source: RNAcentral
GAGGAAUAUUGGUCAAUGGACGGAAGUCUGAACCAGCCAAGUAGCGUGCAGGAUGACGGCCCUAUGGGUUGUAAACUGCUUUUGUAUGGGGAUAAAGUUAGGGACGUGUCCCUAUUUGCAGGUACCAUACGAAUAAGGACCGGCUAAUUCCGUGCCAGCAGCCGCGGUAAUACGGAAGGCCCAGGCGUUAUCCGGAUUUAUUGGGUUUAAAGGGAGCGUAGGCUGGAGAUUAAGUGUGUUGUGAAAUGUAGACGCUCAACGUCUGACUUGCAGCGCAUACUGGUUUCCUUGAGUACGCACAACGUUGGCGGAAUUCGUCGUGUAGCGGUGAAAUGCUUAGAUAUGACGAAGGACUCCGAUUGCGAAGGCAGCUGACGGGAGCGCAACUGACGCUGAAGCUCGAAGGUGCGGGUAUCGAACAGGAUUAGAUACCCUGGUAGUCCGCACAGUAAACGAUGGAUGCCCGCUGUUGGUACCUGGUAUCAGCGGCUAAGCGAAAGCAUUAAGCAUCCCACCUGGGGAGUACGCCGGCAACGGUG